UACGAAGGGGGCUAGCGUUGCUCGGAAUCACUGGGCGUAAAGGGUGCGUAGGCGGGUCUUUAAGUCAGGGGUGAAAUCCUGGAGCUCAACUCCAGAACUGCCUUUGAUACUGAAGAUCUUGAGUUCGGGAGAGGUGAGUGGAACUGCGAGUGUAGAGGUGAAAUUCGUAGAUAUUCGGAGGAACACCAGUGGCGAAGGCGGCUCACUGGCUCGGUACUGACGCUGAGGUGCGAAAGCGUGGGGAGCGAACAGG
Molecule: ribosomal RNA, 253 nt
Filed under: uncultured bacterium
Lineage: Bacteria
Description: partial 16S ribosomal RNA
Rfam family: Bacterial small subunit ribosomal RNA
Source: RNAcentral